UAGGGAAUAUUGCGCAAUGGACGAAAGUCUGACGCAGCAACACCGCGUGAGGGAUGAAGCUUUUUGGAGUGUAAACCUCUGUCAGUGGGGACGAAUAAAUGACGGUACCCACAAAGGAAGCAUCGGCUAACUACGUGCCAGCAGCCGCGGUAAGACGUAGGAUGCAAGCGUUGUCCGGAAUUAUUGGGCGUAAAGAGUUCGUAGGCGGUCUAUCAAGUCUGGUGUUAAAUCCCGGGGCUCAACUCCGGACCGGCACUGGAUACUGGUAAGCUAGAGUGCAGUAGAGGCAAGGGGAAUUCCCAGUGUAGCGGUGAAAUGCGUAGAUAUUGGGAGGAACACCGGUGGCGUAAGCGCCUUGCUGGGCUGUUACUGACGCUGAGGAACGAAAGCCAGGGGAGCAAAUGGG
Molecule: ribosomal RNA, 406 nt
Filed under: uncultured prokaryote
Also listed under: 1 other name
Description: bacterial SSU rRNA
Rfam family: Bacterial small subunit ribosomal RNA
Source: RNAcentral